GCCAGGUGUGGUGGCUCACGCCUGUAAUCCCAGCACUUUGGGAGGCUGAGGUGGGCGGAUUACCUGAGGUCAGGAGUUCGAGACCAGCCUGACCAACAUGGAGAAACCCCAUCUCUA
This 117-nucleotide non-coding RNA is filed under the name Gorilla gorilla gorilla (western lowland gorilla). Lineage: Eukaryota; Metazoa; Chordata; Mammalia; Primates; Hominidae. The record is from Rfam by way of RNAcentral.